CGUGGGUAACCUGCCUUAUAGCGGGGGAUAGCCUUUCGAAAGGAAGAUUAAUACCGCAUAAGAUUGUAGUAUCGCAUGAUAUAGCAAUUAAAGGAGCAAUCCGCUAUAAGAUGGACCCGCGUCGCAUUAGCUAGUUGGUGAGGUGAUGGCUCACCAAGGCGACGAUGCGUAGCCGACCUGAGAGGGUGAUCGGCCACAUUGGGACUGAGACACGGCCCAGACUCCUACGGGAGGCAGCAUG
This 241-nucleotide ribosomal RNA is filed under the name uncultured bacterium. RNAcentral describes it as "partial 16S ribosomal RNA". It matches the Rfam family "Bacterial small subunit ribosomal RNA", at positions 116 to 353 of the family's 1533-position model. The record is from RNAcentral.